RNAcentral lists this small nuclear RNA (107 nucleotides) under Dasypus novemcinctus (nine-banded armadillo). The record is from RNAcentral. Lineage: Eukaryota; Metazoa; Chordata; Mammalia; Cingulata; Dasypodidae.
GUGCUCACUUUAGCAGCACAUAUACUAAAACUGGAAUGAUACAGAGAAGAUUAGCAUGGUCCUUGUGCAAGGAGGACAUGCAAAUUCGUGAAGCAUCCCACAUUUUU